This is a long non-coding RNA of Papaver somniferum (opium poppy), 1037 nucleotides long. RefSeq lists it as uncharacterized. The transcript is spliced from 6 exons. Lineage: Eukaryota; Viridiplantae; Streptophyta; Magnoliopsida; Ranunculales; Papaveraceae. The record is from RefSeq and is a predicted model, not a curated record.
UUUUUUUUUUUUUUUUUUUUUUGUGUUUAAGUAGACAGAAAUUCUUCUUCAACUCCACAUUCCACAGAGAUCUCAAGCAACUGAAAAGCUUCUUGAGGAUUAAUCCAGUGCGAUAUUGCGAUGAAUGGGUCACAGAGCAUAUGUAAUUCAGCAACAACGGGGUCAUACCAGUGCUCUGGAGGGGUUUCCUGCGGGCACUGAGGCAGACAUUCGGUUCCUCGACGGUCUCUCAAGGGAUGCGAUCUACUCUAGGGAUUGUUAUUCGAGCGAUCAUGGGGUUGCUAGGCCUGCAAGAUUUGCUGGUCGUAAUGAUGAUAACUUUCUACCUUUAGACUAUCACCAGCAUUGUACUUCUCAGAGUACUCGAAGUAGGGAAGAGAGCCAUGACUAUGGAUGAGCCAUCCAUCUAUGGUUCUGAUUUCAGAAGACGUAACACAUAUGAUAGUUGGGAGAGAGAUCAAUUUCCAGGUUGGAGACGAGAACAUCCUUGGCCUCGUGGACAUGACUAUCACCAGAGAUCGAGGUCUCCUCGUGUUCGCAGCCACAACCGAAGCGACCGAGAUGUCACCUAUGACCAUAAACGAAACCAUGAACAUUCUUCAGUGGUUCCAUCUGCUACAGUUAUAGUAAUGGGUUUGUCGAGAAAGACAACUGUGGAAUAUCUUCAUCAGAUCCUGUGCCCCACUGAGUCUGGAAGAAACCUAGUGGAAAGUCGUCUGGUCCUGGUGCCUUCCAUGGAUGCAUCCUUUGUAGAGCUUUGAGGAUUUCUGUAUCAUCUGGAAUGCUAGUAAGUGCAACAUUUUCAGCUUCUGUGAUGCACUUUGGUGAGAGGCUAAAGAGCUCUUCAUUAUUAUCUGAUAUAAAUUUUACACUUAUCCUAACUUCACCCUUUGUUGCUUUGUUUUUUUUUUAUAUAUAAUUUUUUUUACUAUAACCGAAAUUUUUUACUACACCAUCACUUAAAAAAUGUCAAGUAUGUCAAGGUAAGUUCUUAAAAAUUAUUUUUCCUUUCUAACUUUAUUUGAUUCUGAUACUGU